This 498-nucleotide ribosomal RNA is filed under the name uncultured bacterium. RNAcentral describes it as "partial 16S ribosomal RNA". It matches the Rfam family "Bacterial small subunit ribosomal RNA", at positions 30 to 523 of the family's 1533-position model. The record is from RNAcentral.
AUUGAACGCUGGCGGCAUGCCUUACACAUGCAAGUCGAACGGUAACAGGUCUUCGGACGCUGACGAGUGGCGAACGGGUGAGUAAUACAUCGGAACGUGCCCAGUCGUGGGGGAUAACUACUCGAAAGAGUAGCUAAUACCGCAUACGAGCUGAGGAUGAAAGCGGGGGACCUUCGGGCCUCGUGCGAUUGGAGCGGCCGAUGGCAGAUUAGGUAGUUGGUGGGAUGAAAGCUUACCAAGCCGACGAUCUGUAGCUGGUCUGAGAGGACGACCAGCCACACUGGGACUGAGACACGGCCCAGACUCCUACGGGAGGCAGCAGUGGGGAAUUUUGGACAAUGGGCGAAAGCCUGAUCCAGCAAUGCCGCGUGCAGGAUGAAGGCCUUCGGGUUGCAAACUGCUUUUGUACGGAACGAAAAAGUCUCCUCUAAUACAGGAGGCCCAUGACGGUACCGUAAGAAUAAGCACCGGCUAACUACGUGCCAGCCGCCGCCGUAA